This 407-nucleotide ribosomal RNA is filed under the name uncultured bacterium. Its description in RNAcentral is "partial 16S ribosomal RNA". It matches the Rfam family "Bacterial small subunit ribosomal RNA", at positions 28 to 526 of the family's 1533-position model. The record is from RNAcentral.
GACGAACGCUGGCGGCGUGCCUAAUACAUGCAAGUAGGACGCAGUUGCGAACGGGUGAGUAACGCGUAGGUAACUGCGUAUUAGAGGGGGAUAACUAUUGGAAACGAUAGCUACUACCGCAUACUAGUAGAUGGACCUGCGUUGUAUUAGCUAGUAGGUAGGGUAAUGGCCUAUCAAGGAGACGAUACAUAGCCGACCUGAGAGGGUGAUCGGCAAAACGGGGACGGAGACACGGCCCAGACUCCUAAGGGAAGCAGCAGUAGGGAAUCUUCGGCAAUUGGGGGAACCCUGACCGAGCAACGCCGCGUGAGUGAAGAAGGUUGUCGGAUCGUAAAGCUCUGUUGUUAAGGAAGCGGUACUUAACCAGAAAGGGACGGCUAACUACGUGCCAGCAGCCGCGGUAAUAC